UUUCCUCCAUUACUCAAACAAUGAAACCCUACCAAGGUUUAUGAUUCCAAAAGCCAAAAACAAAAAGGAAUUACCGACAGAUGAACUCCAGUUGAUUUACAGAAAUUAUGAAGUGCAGGUUGCUGCCAGACAGGGUGGCAUUCCACCUGAUUAACUGCAGGGGUUACUUUUGCAUGUUUGAGCAGAUCUUGCAGCUUCUUGGUUGAGAAGUUGCUGACCCCAAUUGCGCGUGCCUGGCCUGACGCAUAUAAACCUUCCAUUGCACUCCAUGUCUCUGG
Molecule: long non-coding RNA, 278 nt
Filed under: Ricinus communis (castor bean)
Lineage: Eukaryota; Viridiplantae; Streptophyta; Magnoliopsida; Malpighiales; Euphorbiaceae
Description: long non-coding RNA (RCOM_LNC002493)
Source: RNAcentral